Molecule: ribosomal RNA, 199 nt
Filed under: uncultured bacterium
Lineage: Bacteria
Description: partial 16S ribosomal RNA
Rfam family: Bacterial small subunit ribosomal RNA
Source: RNAcentral
ACGCUCGACACCUACGGAGGCAGCAGUGGGGAAUAUUGGGCAAUGGGCGCAAGCCUGACCCAGCAACGCCGCGUGAAGGAAGAAGGCUUUCGGGUUGUAAACUUCUUUUGUCAGGGAACAGUAGAAGAGGGUACCUGACGAAUAAGCCACGGCUAACUACGUACCAGCAGCCGCGGUAAUCUGAGCGGGCUGGCAAGGC